This 736-nucleotide ribosomal RNA is filed under the name Segestria sp. LBB-2011. RNAcentral's name for it is "eukaryotic LSU rRNA". The stretch from base 455 to 736 matches the Rfam family "Eukaryotic large subunit ribosomal RNA", at positions 665 to 914 of the family's 3401-position model. Lineage: Eukaryota; Metazoa; Arthropoda; Arachnida; Araneae; Segestriidae. The record is from RNAcentral.
UCUGGCGGGGGGAUUCAGUCAGGAGAGGCGGAGGUGUUCGUCGAUCGAUUCCAACGGACCUUUCCAAGGCCGGGUCGGCGGCACGGUCUUCGUUUCACCUGACGCACUUCCUCCCGCACUAAGGACGCCGCAGCCGGUUGGGUAGCUGCGUGAGUCGGCCAUGAGGGCGGGCGCCGGCAGGUGGCCGGUGGCAGUUACUUCGGCAGCGCCGCCGGUUGUUAGCCAGCCCGUCCGUGGCGCGACACCCGACCGAGGUUAAAUGGUUCCCGUAUGGGAACUCGCCGUCCCCUUCCAUGUGGAGCGGGCGCUCUGGCAGGCAUAUCGCGGUGUUGCCGCGUCACUCUUUGUAGUGGCCGGUGCUCCGAGGUCGCUGUUGGCUGGAAGUGUUCCGCGGGGGUGCAUGCGGCUAGCGGCGAGUAGGUCGGUCACCCACCCGACCCGUCUUGAAACACGGACCAAGGAGUCUAACAUGUGCGCGAGUCACGGGGUCUUGCUUAGGCCCAAAGGCGCAAUGAAAGUGAAGGUCGACCUCGAUGUCGGCUGUGUUGGGACUCCUCGCCCUUGUGGUGGGGAAGCACCAACGACCCGUCCUAUCCGAUUUAUCGGUUGGGCGGAGUCUGAGCGUACACGUUGGGACCCGAAAGAUGGUGAACUAUGCCUGGGCAGGACGAAGCCAGAGGAAACUCUGGUGGAGGUCCGUAGCGGUUCUGACGUGCAAAUCGAUCGUCAGACCCGG